RNAcentral lists this ribosomal RNA (499 nucleotides) under uncultured bacterium. RNAcentral describes it as "bacterial SSU rRNA". It matches the Rfam family "Bacterial small subunit ribosomal RNA", at positions 31 to 507 of the family's 1533-position model. The record is from RNAcentral.
GAACGCUGGCGGCGUGCUUAACACAUGCAAGUCGAACGAGACGAAUUAGAAGCUUGCUUUUGACGAGUCGAGUGGCAAACGGGUGAGUAACGCGUAGACAACCUGCCGCAAAGAUGGGGACAACAUCCCGAAAGGGGUGCUAAUACCGAAUGUUGUGCAACCUCCACAUGGAGGAUGCACCAAAGGUGGUUUCGGCCACCGCUGAGAGAUGGGUCUGCGUCUGAUUAGCUUGUUGGCGGGGUAACGGCCUACCAAGGUGAUGAUACGUAGCCGAACUGAGAGGUUGAUCGGCCACAUUGGGACUGAGACACGGCCCAGACUCCUACGGGAGGCAGCAGUAGGGAAUCUUCGGCAAUGGGGGCAACCCUGACCGAGCAACGCCGCGUGAGUGAAGAAGGUUUUCGGAUCGUAAAGCUCUGUUGUAAGAGAAGAACGUGUGUGAGAGUGGAAAGUUCACACAGUGACGGUAACUUACCAGAAAGGGACGGCUAACUACGUG